GGACAUAUUUCUCACCUUCAAAACAGGUUUCUUUAGAAAGCAGUAGAAAGCAAACCCUUUCAUAGAGCAUUAAAAAGCAAGCUCAAACAUGACACUACUGUCACACCUUUCAUGGUACUUUUUUUUUCAGGAGUCUGCCCCUGAUUUUAGUCCAAAGGAGCUGCUCUUUGAAAUGGCGUGUCCAGCUUUGGCGUUUGCCUGCUGAGGAAGAGAUAACUUUUUCAACCCACAAGACCGAAACAACUUCCCUUAAUUGAAAUGACUCCAGAACAGUUAUUCCCUAGAAGACAUCCUCCUUGAUUUCUUGCGGGGCCUGUAAGAUGACUGAAGUCGUAGGAUGUCUGAAGUAGAAAAGAGUGCCAGAGACACCACAGAACAUGGGGAAUGUUGUCCUGCUUCUGAGGUUCAGAUAUACAACUCAACCAUGGGCAGCUGAGGAUGGACUUUCUGCCUCGAUAGGUUUCUGUGGGAACGUUUCAGCUACCUGCAGCCUCAUCCGAUGACGUUUAAUGAUAUCAGCUAGCUUGAUCUUCCUCCAUGCACCAGCAGGGACUUCUUUAAAUUGCUCAACUGUAUGGAACACUGUUUUCAAGUUUAAUGUACUUGGAAUUGACCUUUUAAAGUAAUGGUAUUUCUAAACACAGUUUAAAUACAGUUUAAAUACAUAGCACACACAUAUGUUUGCAUUUAUAUGUGCAUGUGUGUGUACGCCUAUAUAUAUAUAUAUGUAAGUGCACACAUAUGUAUAGAAAUGCUGAUCCUAUUCACCUUUUUAAAAUCAUUACAGCUAGUAUUAACAUGAAUGUGCUGUUAAAUUGGCAGUGUUAUACAUUUUUGUUGGAGUUUACUUCUGUAACAUAAAACCAGAAAGAUAAGCUGUGAAACUCGUGCAGCUGAUGACAUAAUCCUAGAAUCUCAUGAUGCUGAAUCUCAUAUUGCUAGGAGUGUGGGAUGGAUGUUCUUUGCUGAAAUAAU
Molecule: long non-coding RNA, 975 nt
Filed under: Manacus vitellinus (golden-collared manakin)
Lineage: Eukaryota; Metazoa; Chordata; Aves; Passeriformes; Pipridae
Description: lncRNA (ENSMVIG00005017317.1)
Source: RNAcentral